UGCCAGCCGCCGCGGUAAUACAGAGGGUGCAAGCGUUAAUCGGAAUUACUGGGCGUAAAGCGUGCGUAGGCGGAAUUUUAAGUCAAAUGUGAAAGCCCCGGGCUCAACCUGGGAAUUGCAUCUGAUACUGAAGAUCUAGAAUAUGGCAGAGGAUAGUGGAAUUUCUGGUGUAGCGGUGAAAUGCGUAGAUAUCAGGAGGAACAUCAGUGGCGAAGGCGGCUCCCUGGCCAAAGACUGACGCUCAUGUGCGAAAGUGUGGGUAGCGAACAGGAUUAGAUA
Molecule: ribosomal RNA, 279 nt
Filed under: uncultured bacterium
Lineage: Bacteria
Description: partial 16S ribosomal RNA
Rfam family: Bacterial small subunit ribosomal RNA
Source: RNAcentral